Molecule: unclassified non-coding RNA, 302 nt
Filed under: uncultured bacterium
Lineage: Bacteria
Description: 16S-23S ribosomal RNA intergenic spacer
Source: RNAcentral
CUAAGGAGUUUUUUGUUCGGCGUGGUGGCCCGCCUGUGGCGGGGCCGCGCCGGCUCGUAGUGUUUUCGGGUGGAUCAAUCAUCCGGGGUGGGAUGGUCCGCGUGCCGUGUGGUGCGUGGGGGUGCGUCGGUGCGCUGUCGGGUGUCUGGGAGGGCACGCUCUCCUUGUGGCGCCGUCGUCGUGUCUGCUGGUCUGUGCUGGCGGGUGCGGUGGUGGUGGUGUUGUGUGAGAACUGGAUAGUGGACGCGAGCAUCUGUUUUUCUGUGAUGAGUAUUUUUUGACUUGUGUGGUCGAAGGCGUUU